RNAcentral lists this ribosomal RNA (1431 nucleotides) under Triticum aestivum (bread wheat). RNAcentral describes it as "partial small subunit ribosomal RNA". Lineage: Eukaryota; Viridiplantae; Streptophyta; Magnoliopsida; Poales; Poaceae. The record is from RNAcentral.
AUGUCGGUGCAGGAGUACCUAGAGAAGCACCUGCUCCCGCGCAAGAUCGAGGAGGCCGUGAACGCGGCCGUCCGCGCCAAGGCCGCCGACCCGGUGCUCUUCAUCUCCACCCACAUGCGGCGGGCGGCGCCGGCCGUGAUCACGCGGGUGUGCGCGCGGCAGAUCCUGGACAGCCGCGGCGCCCCCGCGGUGGAGGUCGACCUGCACACCAACAAGGCCGUGCACCGCGCGUCCGCGGCAGGGCCGGGAGCCCCCGAGGGCGCCGCGGUCGACGCCACGAGGGACGUCGAGAAGCGGAGGCUCCUCGCCAAGGCGGUCGCCGACUCGGUGCGGCUGAUCAACGGCAAGGUGUCGGAGGCGCUCGUGGGGAUGGAUCCGCAGCAGCAGGCGCAGAUCGACCAGGCCAUCAUGGACUUGGACAAGGCGCACCACAGGACUGAGGUUGGAGCGAAUGCUAUGCUGGCCGUAUCAAUUGCAGCUUGUAAAGCUGGUGCUGCUGAGAAAGAGGUUCCGCUGUACAAGCAUAUAGCAGAUCUUGUUGGUAAAAGCGCAACGACGCUUCCCGUCCCAGCAAUUACAGUCAUUAAUGGUGGAACCCAUGCUGGAAAUAAUCUUCCCAUUCAAGAAAUUAAGAUCCUUCCAAUCGGUGCCAAAAACUUUGAAGAAGCAAUGCAGAUGGGUUCAGAGACAUAUCAUCAUCUGAAGGAUAUUAUAUGGGAGAAGUAUGGUUCAGACAGUUGCAACAUUGGCGAUGAUGGUGGAUUUGCUCCUAAUAUUUCCAGUAUAACCGAAGGCUUGGAUCUUGUCAUUGCGGCAAUAGAUAGAGCUGGAUAUAAUGGAAGGAUCAAAUUAGCAAUUGAUGCUGCUGCUACUGAUUUUUGUGUAGGAAAAAAAUAUGACCUGGAGUUCAAGUCUGCAAAGAAAUCAGGGCAAAAUUUCAAAACUGGGGACGAUAUGAUUGAGAUUUAUAGUCAACUAUGUUCAGAAUACCCACUUGUCUCCAUUGAACAGCCCUUCGACAAAGAUGACUGGGAGCACUCGAAAAAGUUUACCACCCUAGAGCUAUGUCAGGUUGUAGGAGACGACUUAUUGAUGUCAGAUCCUGAACGCAUUAAGCGGGCAGUAAAUGAAUAUACUUGCGACGCUCUUACUCUCAAGGCAAGUCAAGUGGGCACUGUCACUGAGGCCAUAGAGGCUGUGAAACAGGCAAAGGAUGCGCAUUGGGGUGUGAUGGUGUCACAUAGGUCUGGGGACACGGAUGAUUCUUUCAUCGCCGACCUGGCUGUCGGUGCAGCAGCUGGACAGAUCAAAGCUGGUGCCCCCUGCCGUGGAGAGUGCCUCACGAAAUACAAUCAGCUUCUAAGAAUAGAGGAAGAACUUGGAGGCGAAGGGGGUUACGCUGGCGAAAAUUGGAGAACUACCGCGGGCUGA